AGAAAUUUAGGUUAAUGCAAGACCAAAGGCCUUCAAAGCCCUAAGCAGUGGUUAAACCCCACUAAUUUCUG
RNAcentral lists this transfer RNA (71 nucleotides) under Gephyromantis pseudoasper. RNAcentral's name for it is "tRNA-Trp". It matches the Rfam family "tRNA". Rfam says of the family: Transfer RNA (tRNA) molecules are approximately 80 nucleotides in length. Their secondary structure includes four short double-helical elements and three loops (D, anti-codon, and T loops). Lineage: Eukaryota; Metazoa; Chordata; Amphibia; Anura; Mantellidae. The record is from RNAcentral.